Molecule: ribosomal RNA, 863 nt
Filed under: Halobacterium sp.
Lineage: Archaea; Methanobacteriati; Methanobacteriota; Halobacteria; Halobacteriales; Halobacteriaceae
Description: bacterial SSU rRNA
Rfam family: Archaeal small subunit ribosomal RNA
Source: RNAcentral
ACCCGCAGCGGAAAGCUCAGUAACACGUGGCCAAACUACCCUGUGGAUGGGAACAAUCUCGGGAAACUGAGGCUAAUUCCCAAUAACGCUCCACCCCUGGAACGGGCGGAGCUGGAAACGCUACGGCGCCACAGGAUGUGGCUGCGGUCGAUUAGGUAGACGGUGGGGUAACGGCCCACCGUGCCAAUAAUCGGUACGGGUUGUGAGAGCAAGAGCCCGGAGACGGAAUCUGAGACAAGAUUCCGGGCCCUACGGGGCGCAGCAGGCGCGAAACCUUUACACUGUACGCAAGUGCGAUAAGGGGACUCCGAGUGUGAAGGCAUAGAGCCUUCACUUUUGUACACCGUAAGGUGGUGUACGAAUAAGGGCUGGGCAAGACCGGUGCCAGCCGCCGCGGUAAUACCGGCAGCCCGAGUGAUGGCCGAUAUUAUUGGGCCUAAAGCGUCCGUAGCUGGCCGGACAAGUCCGUUGGGAAAUCUGUUCGCUUAACGAGCAGGCGUCCAGCGGAAACUGUUCGGCUUGGGACCGGAAGACCUGAGGGGUACGUCCGGGGUAGGAGUGAAAUCCUGUAAUCCUGGACGGACCACCGGUGGCGAAAGCGCCUCAGGAGGACGGAUCCGACAGUGAGGGACGAAAGCUAGGGUCUCGAACCGGAUUAGAUACCCGGGUAGUCCUAGCUGUAAACGAUGCCCGCUAGUGGUGGCGCAGGCUACGAGCCUGCGCUGUGCCGUAGGGAAGCCGAGAAGCGGGCCGCCUGGGAAGUACGUCUGCAAGGAUGAAACUUAAAGGAAUUGGCGGGGGAGCACUACAACCGGAGGAGCCUGCGGUUUAUUGGACUCAACGCCGGACAUCUCACCAGCUCC